CGAAGCAGGAGAUCCACAGAUCUGAGCUGACGGCAAAGUCUUCACUGGAUCCUUUGGUGGAAUACAGGAAUCAGAUAUCAGAUGGAGGUCACCAGUAACUGAUGGACCCUCUCAGAAUCUCUGGAACAUCGGAGUAUCUGGUUCUCUACGGCCGAAGCAGGAGAUCAACAGAUCUAAGCUGAUGGCAAAGUCUUCACUGGAUCCUUUGGUGGAAUACAGGAAUCAGAUAUCAGCAGCUGAGCGAUGGUUCUUCAGAGGACUUGGAGGUUCUGGACACCGACAGCUCCGAAGGGACAAGCGGAUUGAGCCCUAUCUGGUUUUGCCCAUACCCAAAACCAGAUGCUCAACAGAAUGCUGAAACAGAGGGGGAUGCUUAUUCUAUAGGCCUAUACUAUCUAAAAUUGAGGGAGAAAUUUGGUAUUAAACCUGUGUGAGUUCAUAACCAUAAAGCGGUGAUGGAUGCAACUGUGCGAGCACCUGUGCACGGAAUCAUCAAGCACUGCCUGAGAGAGAAACAAAAUGAGGAUUGUCCUGGGUGCACCACAGAUGCCCCCGGUCAGAGGCAUCACGACUGCAGGUACUGGUCUUUAGAUGAUGUGAACUGUAAAAUUAAAGAAAUUAGCGGGUAGUUUGUAUAUGGAGCGUGUGUUAAAUAAAAUUAUCCUGUUGGGAUACGUGCUGCA
Molecule: long non-coding RNA, 683 nt
Filed under: Chrysemys picta bellii (western painted turtle)
Lineage: Eukaryota; Metazoa; Chordata; Testudines; Emydidae
Description: lncRNA (ENSCPBG00000017776.1)
Source: RNAcentral